Molecule: long non-coding RNA, 2915 nt
Organism: Dermochelys coriacea (leatherback sea turtle)
Lineage: Eukaryota; Metazoa; Chordata; Testudines; Dermochelyidae
Exons: 3
Source: RefSeq, a predicted model, not a curated record
CCGCCUCCUGACCUCCCACCCCUCCUGACCCUGUUUUAAAGAAGCAACACUUUGGGGCAGCCAUCUGUUUACUUUUUGGAUUCAAGACUUGCUAAAAUGUAUUUCGAUGGACGAAGCAACGCAGAGUAAAAGAACAGAGACUGGCCGGCUGCAUGGACUACUGGAACCGACCUUCCUUGAGGAAAUUUUGAGAUCCUUGCUGGAUGUACCCGUCUGAAGUGCCAGUGCCCAGAGGCCCCCAACCAAGAUCUGAGCUCCAUUACGCCAGGUGCUGUUCGUACAUGUGGUGAGAGACAGUCCCGGCUCCAAACACAGAGGAAGAGACUUCUCUGAGUGUGGCAGAACCAAAACCAGACCCCAUUGUGGGGUAAAGCCUUCUGAGUCCCGGUCCAGCCGCCACACUCGCACUGAAUGGGCAAGACUGUCUUCUGCAGUGGGCCUUCGCUUCAAGUGGAAAUGCUAACAAUGAAACAAUAGCUGCCUGGGUACUCUUUAACUGCCUCUUUUACUCCUCCCUUCACCCCGCCUCCUGCCGCCACCCAGGCACGGUGAACCCAAGGAAACUGUCAAAACACCUUGCAGAGUCAUUGAAUUUGAUCUGAUUUUAUCUUUCUGUGAUGUCACUGUGUUACAUGUAUCAAGCCUUGGCACUUCUUUUCCUCCGGGACUAUGUGCCUGGUACUUAUUGGUGUUGGCUUCUCCGUGGGAGUUCGACAGGGCCCGGUGAGCGCUGAUUGACUGGUGGAGGUUUUUGCCAUGCAGGCACCUGGUAAAGCCUUGUGGGGUAAAGCACGGAGGCUCCAUUGAUGUGCGGUUUUCCAGCAGCAGUGGACCGGGCCUGAAGCCUCUCAUGCUUUCCAGGGCUGGGCAGGACACACACGACAUUCGACGUCGAAGACCUUGUGCGGAAUUGUUGAGCGCUGCCGUGGCUUGGGGGAAUGAAGCAUAAAGCCCAGUGCCAAGCCCACCAGGAACGGUGGAGACCAAGGUGCGACUCCUCCCGUUUCUGUAGCAGGCCUCGGAACAGAGCGGGGCAAUAAGCCCCGUCUGCAACAACCCGGCAGGCGUUUUUCCACACACGCUGCCGAUCGCGGUGGAAGCGAUGCGAGUUCUGUCAGCAAAGCCUUGGAGCAGCAGAGCACACGCUCCCCCUCUCCAGCUCAGGCAGCAGGCCUGGGACCCAUAGACCAUAUGUGGAUUCAUCGUUUAUUAUAUUACAGGCUCCUUAAGUGCUUUGUCUCUUGGCAAGAUCCCAGGCCAGGAAUGUUAACAUUUUUCUGUGGGCUAAUUCCUGAGGGCCCUGGGCCAGUCCAACGCUGGCCUUCUCCCUCCUCUCCACCAUUGGCUCUUAUUUUAUUUUAUGUUUCUUUUCAUCGGUGGUUGAAUUGAAAAUUAAGAUGUGCUGGGCCCUAAUCCCAAAUAAAAAUGCCAAUACUUUCCCUCUGGGGCCCUUUAUUUAACUUCCUAGGCAGACUGUGUACAUUACAGCCGUGCGUGUGUUAUAUACACACACAGUGGAAGGGGCUGUGUGCCUCAGCUCUGACCUGCCUUUAAUGCUGGCUCUGAGGAGCCUGCAGAAGGAGCUCGGUUUUAUUUUCUGGGUGGGAGUGGGGAGGGGAGGGCAGGGGCAUUUGUUCCAGGUUCAAAAGAGCCUGUUUCCAGCCCUCAGGUGGGAGAUUGGGUGAACUAAAAUAACACUCCCUAGCUCUCAUGCUUUUCAUCUGGAGAUCUCAAAGUGCUUUACAGAGAUGGCUGGUAUCAUUAUUCCCAUUGUACAGAUGGGGAAACUGAGGCACUGAGCGGUGAAGUGAGUUGCCCACGGUCACCCAGCCCUGGGAAGAGAACCCAGGUCUCCUGAGUCCCAAGGAAGUGCUCCAGUCACUGCCCCAAGAUGCAGUAUUAUUCCCAUGACUGCCCAGAAACUGACUCCCACAUCAAGCACAGAAUAAUCCACAGAGACCUGCCAAAAGAUUUGGUGGCACCUCUGAAGCUGCAGGCUGGGAAGGAGGGUGCUCGGUGAAGCAGAGAUAAUUAGUUCAUGUUGCUGUUCUGCGCUGACUGAUGCUACCUGGGUCUCCCCUGCCCGCCCUGACCAAGCACUAAGACACUGGGGACGUGGGCUGGGUUUUGUGGCGUGGAUGGUCUUGGCUUGGAGCUGCUGCCCUGGAGGGCUCUGGGCCAAAGUGGAUUGAUGCAGUCACUGCUGACCAGAAUGGGGAAAGGCUGCUGCCUGUUUGGAGUGGUGCUAGCUGAUCCAGAUUUCUGACCAUCCGCCAGACCUGCAAACCUAGCUCCACUUUGGGAGCAAACGAGAGUGGUUGGAGAGUGUAAGUUGCAGACAUCUAAGUAGCACUAAAAUAUAUGUAUGGGGAUUAUUCUUAAGGGGAGGGAGGGGCACCGCUGCUAAAUGAAUUACCAGGGCAGUCAAAGAUUCUGCCUUAGUGGCGGGGGAGGAUGGACUUGAUGACUUCUCAAGGUCCCUUGCUGCCCAACAUUUCUAGGGUGGCCUAGCUUGGCAUCCUUGAACAUUCCUAAGCGUGUGGUAUGUGGGGCACAUGUUCCCUUCAGCCCAUGGGCCUGGACAAAACCAGGCAUGGCUUGGUUUGGAAUUGGCAAAGAUGCAGCAGCUUGGAUUUGGUUUGGCAAACAGGUGAGUUGCAGGAUGGGAGCAGAGAGGAAGGGGUGUCUUGGAUUUGGGUCAAUCUAACUGGAAACCCAGCAUUCUGGGGCAUGGCUGGGAUACAUGCUGCUGGUGUUGGCCCAUUUCUCUUUUACAGACACUUCAUAGGGUUUAGCUGUGACCCUGUUCGGGACAACUCUGAGUUUUGCUACCUUUAAACGUGUUCGGUGGGACAAACGUCUCAAGUAAUACUUUAAAAAUAAUAAUAAUUAAUAAAAAAAAAAAAAAGCAAACC